Molecule: long non-coding RNA, 2204 nt
Organism: Corvus hawaiiensis (hawaiian crow)
Lineage: Eukaryota; Metazoa; Chordata; Aves; Passeriformes; Corvidae
Exons: 2
Source: RefSeq, a predicted model, not a curated record
GGCGGUGGCAGCGGCCCCUUCCCGAGGAGCGGCGGGGACGGAGCCCGCGAGUGCCCGACCCCGGUGUCCCCCGUGUCCCCACGUGCAGGCUCCUCCGUGUUUCUCUCCAAAAGCAUUUCAAGCUCGACACACAGAAGCUGUUUCUCCAUGAGCAGCUGUGGGGCAUUUGGCUGAUGGUUUUGACAGUAGAGAUGAAUCGAGGACACGGCAUCUGCAGUCCUGACCUGGAAUUUGAACCUUUGGUGCCUCUCCCUCCUCCCAGGUGGAGAGGAGGUGGAAGAUCUCACAAUCUUCUGAUUGCCAUCAAUCUGAGCUGAUUUGCUGAGCAUUGGCCUCAUAUCAUGUCUAGGUGUUCCUUGAGAGAUGAUUUCAAUCUGAAAAAAAACCCUGUAAGUAUCUUGAGAGCUGGAAAUCAGAUGCUCUGAUCUAACAUUUCUUCAGCAUUUAGCCAUCACCUCUACAAGCAGCACCUCAUUAAAAAAAAAAAAAAUGAAGCAUAAGGAAAAGCAUGAGAAUGUUGCUGAUUUUGAGCCCUGACUUACAUGUUUUUCCUUUCUGAUAUUUUUGGAGGGAAGAGGGAAUUGCAUCAUAUUUUUAUCCUCUUUUUUUCCCCCCCCCAACAUCUGUGAGGAGUAGACAUUUCUUUAACAGAGGAAAAAAAAAAAAUAGAGAUUUCCAGGUGGUAACAUGGCUGAAAGAAAACAUGAAUACAUGGAAAUUCAUGCUCAUUAGUACCAGUACAUAUGUGACUCUGUAGAGCUGAAGCUAACCAGGACCAGUGUAUAGGGAUGAGAACUGCACAUAAUUGAAAUCCUGAUUAAUUAAAAGCAAUGUCUUGGCACAGACAAUGAUGGAGCAUCCUUGGGUGGAUCUGCAGGUAUUCCAGUGGACAUGUGCACCAGGGCCUGCUACCUGUGCUGGGGUGAAGCUUUGUGUGGGCAGGCAAGGGGCAGGAAAGUGGCUUUGCCAAGAAAACCAAGCCAAGAGGAGCAGUGAGCCACCUCUUCACUGCAGCUUCAGGUGUGUUGCUGCACCCAGCACACACGCGCCCCAUGCUUCUCCAGGGGCUCCACGCUUGGAACAGCUGCUGGAGUAUGUGUGGGAUCAGGAAGGGAAUCCAGUGCACACAGGGGAGUGUCCUUUUUGUGCAGGACAAUAAACAAAACCCUGAAAGGGUAGUUGUGGGUCCAGCAGCCCUGGGGGGGGCCCACAUUGCUGGAACCACCAGCUUCACGGAAUAUUUUCCUGGAGUUAAAUAAUGGUUUUCUAGAGAUAAAAAUUGACCACAUUUCCUUUCCUCCCCCCAUGCCAAAGGCUUUUUUUUCACCUGUGUGCAAAAUACCCAGCAGAAACUCCAUUAUUGGAGUGAUUGGGUCCAAUGCCAUGAGAAGGGACUGCUCCACACACCUUAGGAAGUGCAAAAAGCAGAAAGAAAAGAAGGUAGAGCCCUCGGUGCUGUGCCCGAUUGCUCAUCAAAGCCAGCUGCCUCCUGUGCUGAGCUGAGGAUGUGACAGAUGUCUGUAACCUUUACAGGUGCAGGGCCUGCAUUUCAUCAGUCUUUUUUCUAUGGAUGACCUGGAGUGUGGAUUAUUAGCAGCUCAGAUUUCUUUGGCCGAGGUGCUGUGUUGUGUACACAUCCGGGUUAAAUCUAAACAAUAUUUCUGAUCCAUGUAGGCUUCUGACUUGGUUCUGCAUCUUUGGUGUUUAAAAAAUGAUCAGUUUGAGCUCUCCCUGUUCUGUUUCUUAAAUGUCAGAAGAAACUUUUUUUUUUUUUUAAUAAAACAAUUCAGCCUUCCCCUGCAAUGUUCAUAACCAAGAAAUUGUGGCAUCACAAGAGCAUGAGGAAAUACCGGCUGAUUAAAACCAGGGUAAGAAAUGACGGCAAAAGUGUUUGUCUUUUUUUCCCCUCAUUUUAGAAUUCACAAUGAAGUGGCUGGCAAAAGGGGACCAGUUGGUUCAGCCCCACUUGGGCUGAAUAUGAGGUUUAAUGCACUGAAACUACUUCCACUGGCAAACUUUAGUGUCAUAAUUUAAUUUCUCAUGUAAAGCACAUCUCACAGCAUUACUUUUUCCCCACAUCUCUCUGUUUUGACAAAGCAGAGCGUGUUUGGUCUAUUGUUGGCUUUCUUUGCCUCUUUUUUUGUCUUUUUCUUGCCUCUCAUUAAUAUACAAGUGUCAUUAAAUAAUAAUGAUGCUGGUAGUGA